GAUGAACGCUGGCGGCGUGCCUAAUACAUGCAAGUCGAGCGAACGGACGAGAAGCUUGCUUCUCUGAUGUUAGCGGCGGACGGGUGAGUAACACGUGGAUAACCUACCUAUAAGACUGGGAUAACUUCGGGAAACCGUAGCUAAUACCGGAUAAUAUUUUGAACCGCAUGGUUCAAAAGUGAAAGACGGUCUUGCUGUCACGUAUAGAUGGAUCCGCGCUGCAUUAGCUAGUUGGUAAGGUAACGGCUUACCAAGGCAACGAUGCAUAGCCGACCUGAGAGGGUGAUCGGCCACACUGGAACUGAGACACGGUCCAGACUCCUACGGGAGGCAGCAGUAGGGAAUCUUCCGCAAUGGGCGAAAGCCUGACGGAGCAACGCCGCGUGAGUGAUGAAGGUCUUCGGAUCGUAAAACUCUGUUAUUAGGGAAGAACAUAUGUGUAAGUAACUGUGCACAUCUUGACGGUACCUAAUCAGAAAGCCACGGCUAACUACGUG
RNAcentral lists this ribosomal RNA (497 nucleotides) under uncultured bacterium. Its description in RNAcentral is "partial 16S ribosomal RNA". It matches the Rfam family "Bacterial small subunit ribosomal RNA", at positions 28 to 507 of the family's 1533-position model. The record is from RNAcentral.